CUGGGACCAUUUUGGUCAGAAAAGGCUACCAGUCUCCAUAAAAAGCAUUUACAUUUACAUUUUCGGCAUUUAGGAGACGCCCUUAUCCAGCGUGACUUACAGAAGUGCUUCCACACUGAACGUUUCUCUACUCUAGUUCAAGUAAACAACCGUCCAAGGACACAAAUCUGCUGAAACUCUGUUUCUAUAUAUAACAGAUGUUUGAGCAGCACUUAAGCAGAGACAAUAGCAGUGAGGACAUUUCCAUCCCGGACUGGCAUAACGAGGCGUGGACGCAUGGACGAGGCAACAAAGCCUCAUUAUUAAUCCGUCAGACGAGGUUUAUACCUGCUCCUGACAAUCACUGUCAGUCAGAACAGAAGGGUGGAGCAGCAGGACCCCUGGUGGAGCGCUGGUGGAGCAGCUGUGUUCUGGACGGGGAAACUCUGGCUAUUCAAAGCUCCCGGAGAGGCAGGAAAUUCCUCACGAGCGCUCGAGCAACAGGCCACCGAGAGGUACAACACGAGCCGGCUACAGAAGCCUGAGUCAGCUGUCUCACUGGGUUCAGCGCCGGGGCCGAGCCGGGGUAGUUGAUGGAGAUAAAAUCCUUCAGAGUUUA
This is a long non-coding RNA of Trichomycterus rosablanca, 598 nucleotides long. RefSeq lists it as uncharacterized. The record is from RefSeq and is a predicted model, not a curated record. Lineage: Eukaryota; Metazoa; Chordata; Actinopteri; Siluriformes; Trichomycteridae. The transcript has 2 exons.